UUGGAGGGCAAGUCUGGUGCCAGCAGCCGCGGUAAUUCCAGCUCCAAUAGCGUAUAUUAAAGUUGUUGCAGUUAAAAAACCCGUAGUUGAAUUUCGGGAUCAAUUUAUUGGUCGUGCCAACGGUACGCACUGGUACAAUUGGUUUCUCCCUUCUGACGAAGCAUGAUGUCAUUAAUUUGAUGUCGUGGGGAAUCAGGACUGUUACUUUGAAAAAAUUAGAGUGUUUAAAGCAGGCUUUGGCUUGAAUACAUUAGCAUGGAAUAAUGAAAUAGGACGUUUGAUCUUAUUUCGUUGGUUUCUAAGAUCGACGUAAUGAUUAAUAGGGAUAGUUGGGGGCAUUAGUAUUCAAUUGUCAGAGGUGAAAUUCUUGGAUUUAUUGAAGACUAACUACUGCGAAAGCAUUUGCCAAGGAUGUUUUCAUUAAUCAAGAACGAAAGUUAGGGGAUCGAAGACGAUCAGAUACCGUCGUAGUCUUAACCAUAAACUAUGCCGACUAGGGAUCGGACGAUGUUAAUUUUUCUUGACUCGUUCGGCGCCUUACGGGAAAC
This 548-nucleotide ribosomal RNA is filed under the name uncultured Glomeromycotina. RNAcentral's name for it is "SSU rRNA". It matches the Rfam family "Eukaryotic small subunit ribosomal RNA", at positions 548 to 1098 of the family's 1831-position model. Lineage: Eukaryota; Fungi; Glomeromycota. The record is from RNAcentral.